Molecule: ribosomal RNA, 449 nt
Filed under: uncultured bacterium
Lineage: Bacteria
Description: partial 16S ribosomal RNA
Rfam family: Bacterial small subunit ribosomal RNA
Source: RNAcentral
AACGAACGCUGGCGGCAUGACUAACACAUGCAGGUCGAACGAGAUCUUCGGGUCUAGUGGCGCACGGGUGCGUAACGCGUGGGAAUCUGCCCUUUGGUUCGGAAUAACAGUUGGAAACGACUGCUAAUACCGGAUGAUGACGAAAGUCCAAAGAUUUAUCGCCAGAGGAUGAGCCCGCGUAGGAUUAGCUAGUUGGUGUGGUAAAGGCGCACCAAGGCGACGAUCCUUAGCUGGUCUGAGAGGAUGAUCGGCCACACUGGGACUGAGACACGUCCCAGACUCCUACGGGAGGCAGCAGUGGGGAAUAUUGAACAAUGGGCGAAAUCCUGAUCCAGCAAUGCCGCGUGCGUGAUGAAGGCCUUAGGGUUUUAAAGCUCUUUCACCCGGGAUUAUAAUGACAGUACCGGGAGAAUAAGCUCCGGCUAACUACGUGCCAGCCGCCGCCGUAA